RNAcentral lists this unclassified non-coding RNA (523 nucleotides) under Hevea brasiliensis (rubber tree). The record is from RNAcentral. Lineage: Eukaryota; Viridiplantae; Streptophyta; Magnoliopsida; Malpighiales; Euphorbiaceae.
UACUAAGACCAGCCGCUGGAGCCCUGUUGCAAUUUCAAACUUUCCUAUCAUCCCUUUUCAAAAGCAUGCCAUAUAUAUAACUUAUUAAUUUCUUUUUGCCAAGUAAAACACUAAGCCAACUGAAUGAAGAGAAAUGGAAAUUGUUAUCACCGUAUAUGCGAGUUUUUCCUUUGAAAAAUGAUUUAGUAGAACAUGACAUGAGUAUGCUUUAGUCUUUUCACAAACGCUUCAGUUUUGUAAAUUAGUAUACCAUCUAUCAGAAAUCAAUUUCAAGCCCGUUCGUGAAUGUGGAAGAGAAAAGUUUGCCAUUCACUAUAACCAAAUUAUAGGCAGGGACAAUGUUAAGACUCAUAGAUUGGGUUGGUUUGCUAAGGCCAAUGUCUGCUUUGCCGGACCCUACAUGCCUCCCAACAGCGUUUGCUUUUGGGAAUUGAGUUAUUGAGUCAUCGAAGAAUCUUUAGCAUUAAAGGUAAAUCGAAGUGUCGUGGGCGUCCCUCCAAACGUGUGCAAGGUUGGAGAGUUG